GCAUAUCAAUAAGCGGAGGAAAAGAAAAUAACAAUGAUUCCCCUAGUAACGGCGAGUGAAGAGGGAUAAGCUCAAAUUUUAAAUCUGAUCGGUUUUACUUAUCAGAAUUGUAAUUUGAAGAAACGUUUUCUGUGUCUUGAAUUAGCCUAAAUCUUUUGGAACAAGGUAUCAUGGAGGGUGACAAUCCCGUUCAUGGUUAAUUUUAAGAUGCGUUACGAUACGUUUUCAAAGAGUCGAGUUGUUUGGGAUUGCAGCUCAAAAUGGGAGGUAAAUUUCUCCUAAAGCUAAAUAUUGGCGAGAGACCGAUAGCGAACAAGUACCGUGAGGGAAAGAUGAAAAGAACUUUGAAAAGAGAGUUAAAAAGUAUGUGAAAUUGUUGAAAGGGAAACGAUUGAAGUCAGUCGUGCAGUCAUCAAUUCAGCGGUUAACAUUUUAUGUUUCCGUGUAAUUUGGUGUCUGUUGGUUAGCAUCAAUUUUGAUUGUCAUAAAAAGGUUAAGGGGAUGUGGCUCCUUCAGGAGUGUUAUAACCCUUAGCGUAAUGUGACGAUUAGGAUUGAGGUUUGCAACGAAUACCUUUUAGGGCAGUUUCACCUGGCCUCUCGUGGAAUUAUAGAUAGUUAAGAGCAUGCUCUUACUGUCUAUGAUUUUAUGAAAAGGUUGGAGUGUAAAACUAAUUCGUUAAGGAUGUUGACGUA
Molecule: ribosomal RNA, 695 nt
Filed under: uncultured Glomerales
Lineage: Eukaryota; Fungi; Glomeromycota; Glomeromycetes; Glomerales; Glomeraceae
Description: LSU rRNA
Rfam family: Eukaryotic large subunit ribosomal RNA
Source: RNAcentral